RNAcentral lists this ribosomal RNA (468 nucleotides) under uncultured bacterium. Its description in RNAcentral is "partial 16S ribosomal RNA". It matches the Rfam family "Bacterial small subunit ribosomal RNA", at positions 28 to 507 of the family's 1533-position model. The record is from RNAcentral.
GACGAACGCUGGCGGCGUGCUUAACACAUGCAAGUCGAACGGAAAGGCCCUGCUUUUGUGGGGUGCUCGAUUGGCGCACGGGUGAGUAACACGUGAGUAACCUGCCCUUGACUUUGGGAUAACUUCAGGAAACUGGGGCUAAUACCGGAUAGGAGCUCCUGCUGCAUGGUGGGGGUUGGAAAGUUUCGGCGGUUGGGGAUGGACUCGCGGCUUAUCAGCUUGUUGGUGGGGUAGUGGCGUACCAAGGCUUUGACGGGUACCCGGCCUGAGAGGGUGACCGGCCACAUUGGGACUGCGAUACGGCCCAGACUCCUACGGGAGGCAGCAGUGGGGAAUAUUGCGCAAUGGGCGGAAGCCUGAUGCAGCAACGCCGCGUGCGGGAUGACGGCCUUCGGGUUGUAAACCGCUUUCGCCUGUGACGAAGCGUGAGUGACGGUAAUGGGUAAAGAAGCACCGGCUAACUACGUG